UUGGCCAAAAAGUUCGUUCGGGUUUUUCCAUACGAUGUUUCAGAAAAACCUGAAUGAACUUUUUGGCCAA
This 70-nucleotide microRNA precursor is filed under the name Tursiops truncatus (common bottlenose dolphin). RNAcentral's name for it is "miRNA (ENSTTRG00000024833.1)". Lineage: Eukaryota; Metazoa; Chordata; Mammalia; Artiodactyla; Delphinidae. The record is from RNAcentral.